Molecule: ribosomal RNA, 565 nt
Filed under: uncultured bacterium
Lineage: Bacteria
Description: partial 16S ribosomal RNA
Rfam family: Bacterial small subunit ribosomal RNA
Source: RNAcentral
UGGGGAAUUUUGGACAAUGGGGGAAACCCUGAUCCAGCCAUCCCGCGUGUGCGAUGAAGGCCUUCGGGUUGUAAAGCACUUUUGGCAGGAAAGAAACGUCGCGGGUUAAUACCCCGCGAAACUGACGGUACCUGCAGAAUAAGCACCGGCUAACUACGUGCCAGCAGCCGCGGUAAUACGUAGGGUGCAAGCGUUAAUCGGAAUUACUGGGCGUAAAGCGUGCGCAGGCGGUUCGGAAAGAAAGAUGUGAAAUCCCAGAGCUUAACUUUGGAACUGCAUUUUUAACUACCGGGCUAGAGUGUGUCAGAGGGAGGUGGAAUUCCGCGUGUAGCAGUGAAAUGCGUAGAUAUGCGGAGGAACACCGAUGGCGAAGGCAGCCUCCUGGGAUAACACUGACGCUCAUGCACGAAAGCGUGGGGAGCAAACAGGAUUAGAUACCCUGGUAGUCCACGCCCUAAACGAUGUCAACUAGCUGUUGGGGCCUUCGGCCUUGGUAGCGCAGCUAACGCGUGAAGUUGACCGCCUGGGGAGUACGGUCGCAAGAUUAAAACUCAAAUGAAUUGAC